This 1325-nucleotide ribosomal RNA is filed under the name metagenome. RNAcentral's name for it is "bacterial LSU rRNA". It matches the Rfam family "Bacterial large subunit ribosomal RNA", at positions 1565 to 2925 of the family's 2925-position model. The record is from RNAcentral.
AGUGGAUGGGGAGCAACCUAGUCGUGCGUGUGUAAAGGUAGUGCCAAGAAAAGCGGUGAUCAUGAUGAAAAUCAAUUCCCGGUACCCGAAACCGACACGGGUGGGCAAGUAGAGAAUACUAAGGGGCGCGAGGUAACUCUCUCCAAGGAACUCGGCAAAAUGACCCCGUAACUUAGGGAGAAGGGGUGCCACCGAGAGGUGGUCGCAGUGAAGAGGCCCAGGCGACUGUUUAGCAAAAACAUAGGUCUCUGCAAACUCGAAAGAGGAGGUAUAGGGGCUGACGCCUGCCCAGUGCCGGAAGGUUAAAGAAGUUGGUCAGUCUUAGGAUGAAGCUAGCGACUGAAGCCCCGGUGAACGGCGGCCGUAACUAUAACGGUCCUAAGGUAGCGAAAUUCCUUGUCGGGUAAGUUCCGACCCGCACGAAAGGCGUAACGAUCUGGGCGCUGUCUCGGAGAGAGGCUCGGCGAAAUAGGAUUGUCUGUGAAGAUACGGACUACCUGCAUUUGGACAGAAAGACCCUAUGAAGCUUUACUAUAGCUUGGAAUUGUGUUCGGGCUUCCUGUGCGCAGGAUAGGUGGGAGGCGUAGAAGGUAUUCUUGUGGGGAUACUGGAGCCAACGGUGAGAUACCACUCUCAGGAGGCUAGAAUUCUAGCUUAAUUAAGGACAGUUUCAGGUGGGUAGUUUGACUGGGGCGGUCGCCUCCAAAAAGGUAACGGAGGCGUACAAAGGUUCCCUCAGACUGGUUGGAAAUCAGUCGAAGAGUGCAAAGGCAGAAGGGAGCUUGACUGCGAGAAGUACAGUUCGAGCAGGGUGGAAACACGGUCUUAGUGAUCCGACGGUGCUGUGUGGAAGGGCCGUCGCUCAACGGAUAAAAGUUACUCUAGGAUAACAGGCUGAUCUCCCCCAAGAGUUCACAUCGACGGGGAGGUUUGGCGCCUCGGUGUCGGCUCAUCGCAACCUGGGGCGGAAGUACGUCCCAAGGGUUGGGCUGUUCGCCCAUUAAAGCGGUACGUGAGCUGGGUUCAGAACGUCGUGAGACAGUUCGGUCCAUAUCCGAUGUAGGCGUGAGAAUAUUGAGAGGAGCCUUCCUUAGUACGAGAGGACCGGGAAGGACGCACCGCUGGUGUACCUGUUAUGAUGCCAAUUGUAAACGCAGGGUAGCCAAGUGCGGAGAGGAUAACCGCUGAAAGCAUCUAAGUGGGAAGCCCACCUCAAGAUGAGUAUUCUGGUGUAAGGUCACGGGAAGACGACCCGUAAAUAGGCACGAGGUGGAAGUGCAGAGAUGUAUGAAGCCGAAGUGUACUAAUAGACCGUCGGCUUGAUC